CCCAGACUCCUACGGGAGGCAGCAGUAGGGAAUUUUCGUCAAUGGGCGCAAGCCUGAACGAGCGAUGCCGCGUGAGUGAAGAAGGCCUUCGGGUCGUAAAGCUCUGUUGCGGGGGAAAAAAGGCAGCAUCAGGAAAUGGGUGCUGACUGAUGGUGCCCCGCCAGAAAGUCACGGCUAACUACGUGCCAGCAGCCGCGGUAAUACGUAGGAUGCGAGCGUUAUCCGGAUUUAUUGGGUUUAAAGGGUGCGUAGGCGGAAUGCCAAGUCAGCGGUAAAAUCGCGGGGCUCAACCUCGCUCCGCCGCUGAAACUGGCGUUCUUGAGUGGGCGAGAAGUAUGCGGAAUGCGUGGUGUAGCGGUGAAAUGCAUAGAUAUCACGCAGAACUCCGAUUGCGAAGGCAGCAUGCCGGCUUCCGACUGACGCUGAAGCACGAAAGCGUGGGGAUCGAACAGGAUUAGAUACCCCAGUA
This 469-nucleotide ribosomal RNA is filed under the name uncultured bacterium. RNAcentral's name for it is "bacterial SSU rRNA". It matches the Rfam family "Bacterial small subunit ribosomal RNA", at positions 330 to 792 of the family's 1533-position model. The record is from RNAcentral.